This 30-nucleotide non-coding RNA is filed under the name Mus musculus (house mouse). Lineage: Eukaryota; Metazoa; Chordata; Mammalia; Rodentia; Muridae. The record is from RNAcentral.
UGAGUCGAUCACCUUCCAGAGCCUGCCUGA